Rattus norvegicus (Norway rat) is the source of this 1047-nucleotide long non-coding RNA. Lineage: Eukaryota; Metazoa; Chordata; Mammalia; Rodentia; Muridae. The record is from Ensembl.
CCGAAAACAUGGCGGCUGAAGCAUGCAUCCCACACUUAUUCCCUGCCACUCACUCGGGAGAGCUGGCAGAGACCAAGCGGGUUCACUCGGCGCCCGACUUUCCCUCUCCGUCUAAGUUAGGUACGUCUCGUAGCUGGAGGAUUCGAAAUUGGACUUCUUGGGAUGGGCUGCUGUAUUUCUUUAUCUGGACAUGUCGCUGGCUCUGUCUCUCUGUAGAAUAAACUACACUCCCAAGCCAACGUGAGCGAACUAUGUGAAAAUAUCUUAGCAGAGCAGAAGCUUUCCAGAUGCUUCGGUCUUUUGUGUUCAAUCGUGACGAAGGGUUGAAAUGAGUUGAGAUCCUCACAAAUUCGUCUUUUCUACCAGAAGUUGAAGUUCAAGUGUAUCCUAUGGUGCCAGAUCUCUAGUAUGGUCAGAGAUGUUCCGAAGCUCUGUGUGUCUUCAGACGAUUCGUCAGCGUUUGUGACACAAAAGGAUCUGUGCUCUUGAUGAACUCUCUUAAAAUGAAAACUUCACUGACCAUCUGACUUUUCCUAUAUCCCCGUCUAAAGGUGUCUACAACUUAAAAGGAACAGAAGCAAGUUUUAAAUGCAUUAUUAAGUAAUAUUGCACUUAAAGAAUUAAAAACCAAAGGCGUUCCAUCGGUUAACAUAGAGCUGUGAAAAUACAGCAACAGGACCAAUAGGAUAUAUUCAUAUAUAUCACAAUUAUUGUGAUAUAUUAAGCCGUUUCAUAAACAAGAUCGAGCCAUUUCCCCGAAGGGGAACAGGGAGGACCUCGUAUAGAAACUUUGAUUUGUCACCAAGAACAUUUACACAGCUAUAGAUAAACACACAUCACCGACCGGGAUUCAGAAGAUAUUUGGAACGUACCGUGUACCAGACAUUGUAUUAGAUGCAAUGGGAGACCUUCUUGGGUAAAUCCCAAAUCUUAUGCUAUGUUAUAGUCGGAGUCAGCCAGCUAGUUCCAAUAUCAAUAUUAAAACUUUCACUCGUGUAUCUCAAGGGUGCUAACUAUUGUAUUUUUAUGGUCAUAGAUUACACGGUG